Molecule: ribosomal RNA, 292 nt
Filed under: uncultured bacterium
Lineage: Bacteria
Description: partial 16S ribosomal RNA
Rfam family: Bacterial small subunit ribosomal RNA
Source: RNAcentral
GUGCCAGCAGCCGCGGUAAUACGGAGGGUGCAAGCGUUGUUCGGAAUUACUGGGCGUAAAGCGCGCGUAGGCGGUUUUACAAGUCAGAUGUGAAAGCCCAUGGCUCAACCAUGGACGUGCAUUUGAAACUGUAAGACUUGAGUAUUGGAGGGGGUGGUGGAAUUCCCGGUGUAGAGGUGAAAUUCGUAGAUAUCGGGAGGAAUACCAGUGGCGAAGGCGACCACCUGGCCAAAUACUGACGCUCAUGUGCGAAAGCGUGGGGAGCAAACAGGAUUAGAAACCCUGGUAGUCC